Non-coding RNA from Meleagris gallopavo (turkey), 2309 nucleotides. The record is from RefSeq and is a predicted model, not a curated record. Lineage: Eukaryota; Metazoa; Chordata; Aves; Galliformes; Phasianidae.
CUGGCUUGGUAUUAUGUCAUUUCAGAUGGACAAGAUUAAGUGAAAUCCUGCUUUGGAUUUCUGAUGCUCUCCCCUCUGUUUUGUAUUAACACUGAGAAUUUGUUUCUGUGUUGUUUGUGGCUGAGGCUUUUUUCCCCAUCCCCUGCCUGAGAUGGCUCAAGAAAUGCUGAACAGAGUGCUUAAUGAUUUCCAGUGUUUUCUCUUGACAUUUUAGUUUAGGAGAAUGAGCAAUGCCUCCGCUGGGGACUUCCCUGGCAGAUCCACGUCUGAACAGCCAGGGCUGGCUUCCAAGAACAUUAAAUUCCAGCUGCUUUUCCAUCCAAGGCAAGAUAGGUUAUGCAUAUUUGGUGCCUGGUUUAACGCUGCAAGGGACAUAAUUUUCAGUGGUAUAAUGGACCGCUUGAGUCUCUCUUGUCAACUGGGAGUUUGAGUAUGCAGCGUGUUUGGAAAUGCAGCCCAUCCUAACCCAGCAACUGGCAAGGGAGAAAUCCAAAUCUAUCAGUCGCUAUUUCAGCCUGUGACUUCUGCUCGCCUUUGUCCCACCCGAGCGUGAGUCUAUGAGAUCAUUCAAGUAUGGAGACUUGGCAGCCUCCAUGUGCGUACAAAGACGGCUGUUUGAAUUUCAGACUAAGUGUUGUUCUGGCUAAGGAUAAAUUAUUUGGUGUGUUACAUGAGGAUUUGCUGCUUUAUCUGGCCUGAAUCAGGUUGGUUUAUUAUCACUGCCCUGCAGUCAUGAUUUAGACUGGACUGCAGUUUUCUGUCCUUUAGACUUUUCCAUGUUUUACUGCCUAAAAGUAGAGGCAUUUCUUUUAAGCAAUUUGGUAAUAGAAAGGAUUGUAGUGAUUGGUUAGUAUGAUUGGAAGGCCAAGAAAAGGCAGUGCAAAACGAAAUAGGAGAAAAUACAGAAGUAAUGGUGGGACCAGACAAACAAGACAAAUGUUUUCUUGGGCUUAACUGGUCACUUACGGCUCAUGUACAGAGUUGGACAGUCACUCUAAGCAGUGCAAUCUCCAGAAAAGCUGAAUAAGAGUUUUCGUAUAUGAGAUAUUCUUGCUGGAGAUGGGAUUUACAACUUUUAUUUUUAAAUUCAAAAGCAGGAGCAAUGGUUGUGGUCAUCAUCAGUUCAGAAGGUAGGUUCAUUUUAUAGACAUGAGCUUCAAAGUCUGUUACAAAGAGAUCUACUGCCUGAACUGUGCUGAGUUGCCAGGGUCAUGCGUGCCAUCUGCACCAUCUGUGCAAAGGGUGAGUGCUCUGUUCCUGUGUACUGCAUGGAAUACUAAAGGAGAUCAUUAAUGAGCAUUACAGAGUGAUUUACAACACCUGGGUCCCACUUAAAAUAGUGUUACAGAAAGUAAAACGCAUCUGUGUAUCUGAGCUUGAGAAGACUGAUAGAAUUUUAUUUGCUUCUGAAUUUUGCAGCAUAGAUGAAGAGCACACACCACAUCUCUUUCAUCAUUUUUCUUUAAGUUACUUGUGCUGCUAGUCCAUCCUGGCCGACAUUAGUGGCACUAUAAAAUACAACUGCCCUGGUUUUGGUUCCUUUAUUCACACAUGCUGUAGAUGAAUGUCAGAAAGUAUUUGCUCAUAUUUCUUACAUUGGCAAAUUGCUUUGUCUUUCAAAGAGUACGUGUGCCACUCAGUGCAAGCCUGUGCUUUCUUUGUGGACAGCACUUGAGAAAUGCUAAAAGCAUAAGGGUACAGUGUAUAUGUAUACCCUCCACAUGGUGCUGAUUAUCUUGUCCCAUCUUUCACAUCAGAAGGGUCAAAAACCAAGACGUUACUUCGUGCUAAUCACACGUUGGAAUGCAUUGUUAAAGCCGUGUGCUUACAAAAGAAAAAGUUAUUCAUCCUUUGGCCUUGUUUCAAACAAAAAUGUCAAAGUCUGUGUGAAAGAGCCAUCAGAGCCUUCUGCUGUUACCAGUAGGUAGAGAGGGCUGUGGAGACAAAGGCAGUUAAGCUUUCUUGAAACACAAUUGUAGGAUCACAUCGAUGGUUUGGGUUGGAAAGACCUUAAAGCACACCCAUUUCCAGUCUCCCCACCAUCAGCAGGUUUGCCCAGAUCAGACUGCCCAAAGUAAGCCCAUCCACCUGGCCUUGAGCACCUCCAGGGAUGGGGCACCCGUGGCUUCUCUGGGCAGCAAUGCCAGGGCCUCACCGCCCUUAUAGUAAAGAGUUUAUUCCUUACGUCUAAUCUAAAUCUACCAGCUUAAAGCCAUUAACCUUUGUCUUAUCCAUACGUGCCUUUGUAAAAGGCCCCUCCUCAGCUUUCCUGUGGGCCCCUUUAGGUACUGCAAAGCUGCAGUGAGGUC